UUCUUGCUCUUCCCGCUUCUC
This 21-nucleotide non-coding RNA is filed under the name Caenorhabditis elegans. The record is from RNAcentral. Lineage: Eukaryota; Metazoa; Nematoda; Chromadorea; Rhabditida; Rhabditidae.